UGGGGAAUAUUGCACAAUGGGCGAAAGCCUGAUGCAGCAACGCCGCGUGAGUGAUGAAGGCCCUCGGGUUGUAAAGCUCUGUCUUUUGGGACGAUAAUGACGGUACCAAAGGAGGAAGCCACGGCUAACUACGUGCCAGCAGCCGCGGUAAUACGUAGGUGGCAAGCGUUGUCCGGAUUUACUGGGCGUAAAGGAUGCGUAGGCGGAUUUUUAAGUGAGAUGUGAAAUACCCGGGCUUAACUUGGGUGCUGCAUUUCAAACUGGGAAUCUAGAGUGCGGGAGAGGAGAAUGGAAUUCCUAGUGUAGCGGUGAAAUGCGUAGAGAUUAGGAAGAACACCAGUGGCGAAGGCGAUUCUCUGGACCGUAACUGACACUGAGGCAUGAAAGCGUGGGUAGCAAACAGGAUUAGAUACCCUGGUAGUCCACGCCGUAAACGAUGAGUACUAGGUGUAGGAGGUAUCGACCCCUUCUGUGCCGCAGUUAACACAAUAAGUACUCCGCCUGGGAAGUACGAUCGCAAGAUUAAAACUUAAAGGAAUUGACGGGGUCAUAGCUGUUUUCC
Molecule: ribosomal RNA, 562 nt
Filed under: uncultured bacterium
Lineage: Bacteria
Description: partial 16S ribosomal RNA
Rfam family: Bacterial small subunit ribosomal RNA
Source: RNAcentral